RNAcentral lists this ribosomal RNA (112 nucleotides) under Danio rerio (zebrafish). Lineage: Eukaryota; Metazoa; Chordata; Actinopteri; Cypriniformes; Danionidae. The record is from RNAcentral.
UGCCACAGCCAUAUCACCCUGCAGCCCAAAACCAGUUAUUUACUGAAGCUAAGCAGGGCUGAGUCAGUACCUGGAUGGGAGACCACAUGGGAAAAAUAGGUUGCUGUUGGAA